AGAGUUUGAUCAUGGCUCAGAAUGAACGCUGGCGGCGUGCUUAACACAUGCAAGUCGAACGAGAAAGGGAUUGCUUGCAGUCCCGAGUAGAGUGGCGCACGGGUGAGUAACACGUAGAUAAUCUGCCUUCAAGCCUGGGAUAACUAUUCGAAAGGGUAGCUAAUACCGGAUAAAGUCGAUCUACACAAGUAGAUUGAUGAAAGAUUGCCUCUUCUUGAAAGCAAUUGUUUGGAGAUGAGUUUGCGUACCAUUAGCUUGUUGGUGGGGUAAAGGCCUACCAAGGCAACGAUGGUUAGCUGGUCUGAGAGGAUGAUCAGCCACACUGGAACUGGAACACGGUCCAGACUCCUACGGGAGGCAGCAGUGAGGAAUUUUGCGCAAUGGGGGCAACCCUGACGCAGCAACGCCGCGUGAGUGAAGAAGGCCUUUGGGUCGUAAAGCUCUGUCAACAGGGAAGAAGUUACAAUUGUUUAAUAGAUGGUUGUAUUGACGGUACCUGUGGAGGAAGCGCCGGCUAACUCCGUGCCAGCAGCCGCGGUAAU
RNAcentral lists this ribosomal RNA (542 nucleotides) under uncultured delta proteobacterium. RNAcentral describes it as "bacterial SSU rRNA". It matches the Rfam family "Bacterial small subunit ribosomal RNA", at positions 8 to 524 of the family's 1533-position model. Lineage: Bacteria; Deltaproteobacteria. The record is from RNAcentral.